This 460-nucleotide ribosomal RNA is filed under the name uncultured bacterium. RNAcentral describes it as "partial 16S ribosomal RNA". It matches the Rfam family "Bacterial small subunit ribosomal RNA", at positions 338 to 795 of the family's 1533-position model. The record is from RNAcentral.
CCUACGGGAGGCAGCAGUGAGGAAUAUUGGUCAAUGGCCGGAAGGCUGAACCAGCCAUGCCGCGUGAAGGUCAGUGCCCUAUGGGCGUUAAACUUCUUUUGUGCGGGAGCAAUAAUGGUCACGUGUGGCCAGACGAGAGUACCGUACGCAUAAGCAUCGGCUAACUCCGUGCCAGCAGCCGCGGUAAUACGGGAGGUGCAAGCGUUAUCCGGAUUUAUUGGGUUUAACGGGUGCGGAGGCUGUGAUGUAAGUCAGCGGGGAAAUGCCCACGCUCAACGGGGUGAAGUGCCAUUGAUACUGCCUGGCUGGAAUGCGGAUGCCGUGGGAGGAAUGUGUGGUGUAGCGGUGAAAUGCAUAGAUAUCACACAGAACACCGAUUGCGAAGGCAUCUCACGAAUCCGCGAUUGACGCUGAUGCACGAAAGCGUGGGUAUCAAACAGGAUUAGAUACCCCAGUAGUC